CCGACAGGCCACACCGCCACAACACUGCCACCACGCACAGUGAGUCAAAAGCACAAAAUUUGAAUAAUUGCAAUGAAGAUUUUAUGAUUGAAAACUGCAAUUGAUUGAUUUAGUGUACUUGCUUGCUUGCUUAGUUUGUAGAAUUGUAGUUGCCUAGUUUGUAGAACUGUAGUAAGAUUUCUUCCCAAUUUAUCAUUUUCUAUCAUUUUUCUAUUCCAUAUGUUGGCACUUUGAUAUGUUUAUUAUUAGUAUUUCUAUAUGUUAAACAAUUUCAC
Molecule: small RNA, 275 nt
Filed under: Oryza sativa Japonica Group (Japanese rice)
Lineage: Eukaryota; Viridiplantae; Streptophyta; Magnoliopsida; Poales; Poaceae
Description: sRNA Os04g0283001
Source: RNAcentral